This 66-nucleotide ribosomal RNA is filed under the name Veronica serpyllifolia. RNAcentral describes it as "partial 28S ribosomal RNA". The record is from RNAcentral. Lineage: Eukaryota; Viridiplantae; Streptophyta; Magnoliopsida; Lamiales; Plantaginaceae.
ACCGAAGGGCUUCAGAGUGCCUCCGACCGCGACCCCAGGUCAGGCGGGACUACCCGCUGAGUUUAA